AUACGGAGGAUGCAAGCGUUAUCCGGAUUUAUUGGGUUUAAAGGGUGCGUAGGCGGUUUGCUAAGCGGGAGGUGAAAUGCCGGCGCUCAACGUCGGAAGUGCCUCCCGAACUGGUGGACUGGAAUGACUCUGCCGUGGGAGGAAUGUGUAGUGUAGCGGUGAAAUGCUUAGAGAUUACACAGAACACCGAUUGCGAAGGCAUCUCACGAAGGGUUGAUUGACGCUGAGGCACGAAAGCGUGGGGAUCAAACUGGAUUAGAUACCCUGGUAGUCCACGCAGUAAACGAUGAUGGCUAACCGCUGGUUUAUUCGGAUCAGUGGCCAAGCGAAAGCGAUAAGCCAUCCACCUGGGGAGUACGACCGCAAGGUUGAAACUCAAAGGAAUUGACGGGG
Molecule: ribosomal RNA, 393 nt
Filed under: uncultured bacterium
Lineage: Bacteria
Description: partial 16S ribosomal RNA
Rfam family: Bacterial small subunit ribosomal RNA
Source: RNAcentral